RNAcentral lists this unclassified non-coding RNA (229 nucleotides) under Hevea brasiliensis (rubber tree). Lineage: Eukaryota; Viridiplantae; Streptophyta; Magnoliopsida; Malpighiales; Euphorbiaceae. The record is from RNAcentral.
GAUGAAAAGAGCAAGAUAUAAUCACUCAGAAUUCUCAAACCUUAAUCCCAAUAUGUUUCUCGACUCACAACUCUACUACAAAGGACAGAAUAUUACAAUAUUUAUACUAGCUUAUACUGCAAGAGCAUUGCCCCCGCACCCCCAACGAGAUCAAUGGUUCACUUUUUAUCUCAAUUGGGUCACAGUGCGAAACUUUCUAGUCGAUUCACAAUUCGAAUCCAUGAAAAUA